This 118-nucleotide ribosomal RNA is filed under the name Echinostoma caproni. Lineage: Eukaryota; Metazoa; Platyhelminthes; Trematoda; Plagiorchiida; Echinostomatidae. The record is from RNAcentral.
AUAUGCUACCAUACCACGUUGGAAACACCGGUUCUCGUCUGAUCACGGGAGUUAAGCAAGGUCGAACCCGGUUAGUACUUACGUGGUGACCGCCUGGGAAUACCGGUUGUUGCGGCCG